RNAcentral lists this unclassified non-coding RNA (209 nucleotides) under Hevea brasiliensis (rubber tree). Lineage: Eukaryota; Viridiplantae; Streptophyta; Magnoliopsida; Malpighiales; Euphorbiaceae. The record is from RNAcentral.
UGAAUCGCGUCGACGCACGAACUUUUGCCGCUGCGGUUCGGCCCCAAAAAAACGGUAUUGCCGGAAAGCUCGAUGUCCUCCCGCUCGAUCAGGUAGAAGUCGAUGAGAGACAGGCGGACGAUCUGCGGGGUCUGGAGUUCUGGCUCGCUCAUGCUUCGGUCUUCUCCUGACCCGGCCCUUCUUCGCCGCCGGCGUCGGAUUCGGGGCGU